RNAcentral lists this long non-coding RNA (468 nucleotides) under Phaseolus vulgaris (common bean). RNAcentral describes it as "long non-coding RNA (PVUL_LNC002073)". Lineage: Eukaryota; Viridiplantae; Streptophyta; Magnoliopsida; Fabales; Fabaceae. The record is from RNAcentral.
AAUGAUACAUAGUGUUCUCGAACAAGAGUGGUCCAAAGAACUAUUGAGAUCAGUCUUCUUCUUCCUCUGUCGGUGGGUCGUGUGGCACUCUAACUUUUUUCCUUGCUAGCUCCUUCUUCUUCACUAUUUGUUGCACCUCUCGGUCUUAUCGUAGGACAAACUCGGAUGGUACCUGCAAAUGACACUUCGACGCUCAAGUCAGGAAAGAGAUUCGGCGCUCGGUUCUUAGAGCAUUAUAGAUGAUGACAUACCUGGAUCUUGAAAUGUGUGUUAUUUAUAUUACAUUUGAUGGGUUUUUCUUAUUGGGUCAGGUUAGGGGGUUGGACCGCGUUUAGGAAUGUAUUACCUAGUUCUUAACUACGGAUUAGCUUGAUUAAUCCUGCUUGAGCGUAAUUGUAUUUAUGUUAUCUGUCGACCCAUUGAUGUGGGUCACGAUCUCGAUCAACCUAGUGAUGGAGACCGAGACAU